UUCACUUCUGCUCUUAGUCUGGCUUCCACUACUCUUUCCCACACCUUCAUUGUAUGGCUCAUCAGCUUUAUUCCUCUGUAGUUACCACAACUCUGCACACCUCCCUUAUUCUUAAAAAUGGACACCCAGACCAGGAAAUAAGGGGCUUUAAUUAGAUUUAUAGAAAGGUAUGUGGGCGGGGCUACAGUGUAACAACUGGACACGAGUUUUACUGAGGUCAAAAACAAAUAGUUUUUUGGGGACUUGUGAAGGUUUCUUGUGUAGGGCAGAUAUGGGGUUAGGAAUCUUUUGACACAGGAGGUGUAUAUUUGAAUAAACCCCUUUGGUAUUUGGGGCUUUAUUAAUUAUAUUUGUGUACAUUUCUAGUUGAACGGGAUGGAAAAGAGAAUAGAUAAGAGUGUGAUAGGGGAUAAUGAUAAAAAAUGGGGAAAAAAUGGAGGUUAAAGAAGAGGGGUAGAAUUACAAAAAGAGGCAACAAGUUGCUAGAGGUUUAUCAUUGUUACUGUCAAAUGUUGUUAGUCUAAGGGUGAGGCCUGUCCACAGACACACUCAAACAUACCUGUUUGGUUAAAGAAAAAACGAUAGCUCACAUACAUUCAUUCUGUCACGCAUGCUAUUUUUAUGAAGGUGAGCUCCGUGGUGGAUGAUGGAAUUUAAAAAGAGGGUAAAGCGCCUGGUCACCCCCACACCAAGACCCCAUGUCCAAGACUGUGGAGCAGUGGUCACCAGGGAAAUACAACCUACGAGAUUUAUGUAAAUGUUAGUUAAAAGAAUGUAAACACUGCAGCUCAAGUUUUAAACAUGCGUCCUCUUGUAAAAUAUUAGCUCAUUUUUUUAACUUACUGCUGAGUGUUUGAACCAGAGAGUUUCAUAUCAGCAACUUCCAGCAGCAAAUCAGAAAGGAUUCAGUUGAAAGUGAUGCAUUUUAGACUAAUUUGACCACAUUUUUGGUAAAUUAUCCAAAGUAACACCUUAUUUAAACCAACAACACAGAUUCUGACGUAGAGAAGAACAGCUUUGCACCGGCAUUCAACAGCAUUAUUUGUAGAAUUUUAGAAUCUGUAGAAUGGAUCAUCAGGUUCUCCAGAAAACCAUGCAGUCCAAGCUGCAUCAGUCUAAUCAAAGAUGCCCAGACUUCCCUCUCCCCGGCCACUUCCUCCAGCUCCUCUGGGAGGACCCUGAGGCGUUCCCAGACCAGCCGAGAGACAAAGUCUCUUCAGAGUCUCCUCGGUCUUCCUCGGGACACCUCCCCAGAGGCGUCCAGGAGGCAUCCGGACCAGAUGCCCGCGCCACCUCAACUGGCUCCUCUCAAUGUGGAGGAGAAGAGGUUCUACUCCAAGCUCUCUUCGAUUGACCGAGCUUCUAUCUCUAAAGGAGCGCCCAGCCACCCUCCAGAGGAAACUCAUUUCAGCUGCUUCUUGUCUGGAUCUCGUUCUUUUGGUCACGACCAUUGACCGCUGCAGCGACUGCAAGACGGUGGACGGCGCUCCAAUCCGCCUUUCGAUCUCACGCUCCAAUCUUCCCUCACUCGUGAACAAGACCCCAAGAUAUUUAAACUCAUCCAUCUAAGGCAGGAGCACUCCAUCCACCCAGAGAGGGAAAACUAUAUUUCUCUGGUCAUGAAUUAUAUGUCUUCAGACUUGGCGGUGCGGACUCUCAUCCCAACCACUUCACACUGGGCUACAAACUGCUCGAAUACAUGUUGGAGGUCCUGGUUGAAGCCAACAGGACAACAUCAUCUGCAAAGAGGAGAGAUGAAAUCCUGUGGUCCCCAAGCCAGAUCCCCUCCAGGCCUUGGCUGCACCUAGAACGGUGAUAAAGGGCAACAGGUCCGACUUACUGCUAGUUAUGUGAACCAAGCUUCUGCUCCGGGCAUACAGAGAGCGAACAGCCCCCAGUAAGGCUCCCCGGACCCCAUACUCUCCACAAAACACUAUUGCCUCGUUUCCACUGAGCGGUGCGGACCAGACCAGUCCCCUCCUGGCCAGUUUAGAAUGGUCCACUCAAUUCAAGUGAGUGUUUCCACUGAGCGUUGGACCAUCAGUGUAGACUGAUGAUGAAGCUGUGCGGCAAAACAGUGCGACUACAGCGAAAGAGAAGCUGCAUCAGCUGACUCAGAAACGGAGGGGAAAUUAAAAAGAUAACCACGGAAGAUAAGUGUAAUCCAGAGCAGGUGUUCAUUAUGGACGAAGCUGGACUCUACGCUGCAGUCUAUCUGCUGUUCUGAAUUAAAAGAAAACAUUUUUUUGUUGAGCAAUACUCCAAUGUUCUUUAACGUCCUAUGACAUUUUUAUUUAAAAAACGUUCCCAGUAGUACUUUAUUCACGAUUGUGAAGGUUUAAACAAAAAUCUCACAACCUAAAUGUUGAGGAAACGAGGUAUAAGAGGGACAUUGUUGAACGCUUUCUCCAAAUCCACAAAACACACAUGGACUGGAUGAGUGAACUCCCCAGAAUCCUCCAGCACCCUGAAGAGGGUGUAGAGCUACUCCAAUGUUCCAUAACCAGGACAGAAACUGCACUGUUGAAAGUCCAUGCCUGUACUCGGAUAUAGACUUUCAGAGGAGUGAGAUUCCACGGGAGUUGGAACACACCCUCUGGUCCCCCUUCUUGAAAGGGGCAGUCCAGUGCAGUUCCCAACUUCCACGCUGUGCUGCAGAGACGUGUCAGAAAAGCAUUCCCAAAGAAUCCAAAGACUUGAGGUACUCUGUGCUGACUUCAUCCACCCCUGGAGGGAGCCUUGCCACCAAGGAGAUCUUUGACUACCUCAGUGACCUCAGCUUGGAUGAUGGACUCCUAAGUCCUUUACUUUGCCAAUCCAGCAGGAUUUAGGAGAUCCUUGAAGUAUUCCUUCCAGAACCCAACAAUGUGGCCAGUUGAAGUCAGCAGCUCCCCACCUGCACUGAAAAUAGUGUCUGCAGAAAACUGCUUUACCCUCCUGAGGCGGAGGAUGGUUUUCCAGAAUCUCUUCAAGGCCAACCAAUAGUCCUUCUCCAUGGCCUCAACAGACUCCUCCCAGAACAGACUUUUUGCCUCCAAAACAGCCCGGCUGCAGCUCGCUUAGCCUGCUGGUACCUGUCAGCUGACUCAAGUCUCACAAACUAUCCAGGCCUGAUAGGACUCCUUCAGCCUCACGCAUCCCUUACUUCUGGUGUCCAUCCCCGGGGUCAGGUAUUAACACUUCAGGCACCAGAGACAUUGCGACCACAGCUCCAGGAAAGUAGCAGCUCUGGAAUUUCAGACGACUUUAAGUCAAGAUGUCAUGACUGAACUUCAAAACAACCUUCUGUCAAGGGUCUUUAAGGUGUAGAACUAUGGAGCGCUCCAGUACAGAACACAGAACAAGUCUCAUCAUCAGCAGGAACUUUAUUUGGAAUGUCACAAGUCAAGUCAUUAGGAAAACUACAGGGAUCUACUACGGGAACAGACACUUUGAGGAGAUUCUUCAACUUUUCCAUAUGAUGUGUCCAUCUGUUCCCAGCUUCACAGAACCACUGGACACCAGCUCCAUGGCGGCAGGAAACGCCCUAUGCUCCGCCUCCCUGAUGCGCUCCGACAGCGUCUCUUCCGUAUCCGUGGGGAGGACGGGAACCGCCUCCUGAACGAUGAUGGCUCCAGCAUCCACCUCCUCCUGAAAGACAAACAGUCAGGUCGCCCUCCUCAUCGCAGGAUGUUUCAUCUAAACACGUACUCACAGCCACAAAGUGGACGGUACACCCCGCCACGCGGACGCCAGCCUCCAGCGCCUGUUUCUGAGCGUUCACCCCUUUGAAUGACGGCAGCAGCGACGGGUGGAUGUUCAGGAGCUUACCUGCAGCAGAACCGCGGUGAGUUAACGGCUCCCCGAUGGAAUCACAGCGACGUCAUCGACUCACCUGUCCACUUCUUCACAAACGUUCCAGUGAGGAUCCUCAUGAACCCGGCCAGACACACCAGCUCCACGCCGAACUCCUCCAGAACGCGGUCAAUGGUUCCAUCAAACUCCGCACGGCUGCCAAACAGUUUGUGGUCGACCACCUGGAGGAGACGAGGAGUUUCUCCAACUACAAACUGACUUUAGAUUUUGGGACAAAAAGUUCCAUCAUCUCAACUAGUGCUGCCACGAUUAGUUGACUGAUCGAUUACUAAUCCACUAUUAAAAUAGUCAACAACUAAUUUAA
This is a long non-coding RNA of Oryzias melastigma (Indian medaka), 4159 nucleotides long. RefSeq lists it as uncharacterized. NCBI's taxonomy places the organism in Eukaryota, Metazoa, Chordata, Actinopteri, Beloniformes, Adrianichthyidae. The record is from RefSeq and is a predicted model, not a curated record. The transcript is spliced from 2 exons.